This 464-nucleotide ribosomal RNA is filed under the name uncultured bacterium. RNAcentral's name for it is "partial 16S ribosomal RNA". It matches the Rfam family "Bacterial small subunit ribosomal RNA", at positions 28 to 506 of the family's 1533-position model. The record is from RNAcentral.
GACGAACGCUGGCGGCGUGCUUAACACAUGCAAGUCGAGCGGUAAGGCCCCUUCGGGGGUACACGAGCGGCGAACGGGUGAGUAACACGUGAGCAAUCUGCCCAUCACAUCGGGAUAACUCCGGGAAACCGAAGCUAAUACCGAAUACGACCACCUCCGGCAUCGGAUGGUGGUGGAAAGUUCCGGCGGUGAUGGAUGAGCUCGCGGCCUAUCAGCUUGUUGGUGGGGUAACGGCCCACCAAGGCUUCGACGGGUAGCCGGCCUGAGAGGGUGACCGGCCACACUGGGACUGAGACACGGCCCAGACUCCUACGGGAGGCAGCAGUGGGGAAUAUUGGACAAUGGGCGAAAGCCUGAUCCAGCAACGCCGCGUGAGGGAUGACGGCCUUCGGGUUGUAAACCUCUUUCAGCAGGGACGAAGCGCAAGGGACGGUACCUGCAGAAGAAGCACCGGCCAACUACGU